GUUGAAAUAGCUCAAUGGGAGAGCGACAGACUGAAAAUAUGGUUCAAUCCCAAGUUUCAACAACUUUUUAUCCACCUUGUACUAUCUAAAUUUAAAUUUGGCGCGACAUACGAACCGUGCUGUCAACUUCUUGUACCUGAAGAACUUAUGUCACACAAAUCACCAUCCUUCUCCACCUUCAACAGCCACAGGUCAUUACCGUCAACUUCUUGUACCUGAAGAACUUACGUCAUUCCACAACAGAAGGCGUUAGUAUCAAUUCAUGUUAACCGAGACAAAGAGUUUGAGUACCAAGGCCCUGGAUUCAAUUCCCAGUUUCAACA
This is a non-coding RNA of Exocentrus adspersus, 323 nucleotides long. Lineage: Eukaryota; Metazoa; Arthropoda; Insecta; Coleoptera; Cerambycidae. The record is from the annotation of a GenBank genome assembly.